This is a long non-coding RNA of Juglans microcarpa x Juglans regia, 335 nucleotides long. RefSeq lists it as uncharacterized. NCBI's taxonomy places the organism in Eukaryota, Viridiplantae, Streptophyta, Magnoliopsida, Fagales, Juglandaceae. The record is from RefSeq and is a predicted model, not a curated record. The transcript has 2 exons.
GCCCACUUAACAACAGGCCCUUACUAAUAUGACUACUUAAACUAAAACAUAAAAGGCCAGCCCGUCUUCACCUCAUCCUUGUAUAGAUACUGACGACGUGUGACAGAUUCUUACCAACAGAAAUGACAACCAUCUAUGACAACUAAAACGACAGAAUACUGCAAUUUUUUAUUUGAAAACAAGUCACGUGACAAGAUUACUUCAGAUCACCUACUGAAAAGGGUUCUUAAUUUGUACUAACCAAGAGAAUCUAACUUGUCUUAAUGGUUAUUUUAAUAGUACAGAUAAAAUGGUAACUGUCACUCAAGCUCCUCGUCUAAAAAGCUGAGCAAUUU